RNAcentral lists this ribosomal RNA (112 nucleotides) under Gillisia limnaea. The record is from RNAcentral. Lineage: Bacteria; Pseudomonadati; Bacteroidota; Flavobacteriia; Flavobacteriales; Flavobacteriaceae.
UUUAAGGUGGCUAUAGCAUCGGGGCUCACCUCUUCCCAUUCCGAACAGAGAAGUUAAGCCCGUUAGCGCAGAUGGUACUGCUGUAUUGUGGGAGAGUAUGUCGCCGCCUUUU